This 274-nucleotide long non-coding RNA is filed under the name Salvia miltiorrhiza (redroot sage). Its description in RNAcentral is "long non-coding RNA (SMIL_LNC001358)". Lineage: Eukaryota; Viridiplantae; Streptophyta; Magnoliopsida; Lamiales; Lamiaceae. The record is from RNAcentral.
CCAUGUUGGCGAUACAUGUGGUUAAUGAGGAGUUUAAAGGCAUGGAUUCCCUAAGUGAUGAUUUGUUUGAGGUGUUCACCUUUGCUAAGGAACGCAUUGUUAGUGAUUUCUGUCAUGUUCGUAGAGAAGCCAAUAGAGUGGCUCAUUGUUUGGCAAAUUUUGCCGCAGUUUCGUCUGGUGUAAAGAUCUGGGAGUCAAGUUUCCCGGCUUGGCUCUCGGAUAUUGCUGCUCGGGAUCUUUAAUUGAAUAGAGAUCUCUCGCGUUCAAAAAAAAA